GACGUAGGGCGCAAGCGUUUGUCCGGAUUUAUUGGGCGUAAAGAGCUCGUAGGCGGCUUGUCGCGUCGACUGUGAAAAACCACGACUCAACCGUGGGACUGCAGUCGAUACGGGCAGGCUAGAGUUCGGUAGGGGAGACUGGAAUUCCUGGUGUAGCGGUGAAAUGCGCAGAUAUCAGGAGGAACACCUGUGGCGAAAGCGGCUCACUGGACCAUAACUGACGCUGAGGAGCGAAAGCGUGGGGGAGCGAACAGG
RNAcentral lists this ribosomal RNA (255 nucleotides) under uncultured bacterium. RNAcentral describes it as "partial 16S ribosomal RNA". It matches the Rfam family "Bacterial small subunit ribosomal RNA", at positions 524 to 776 of the family's 1533-position model. The record is from RNAcentral.